Molecule: long non-coding RNA, 3052 nt
Filed under: Homo sapiens (human)
Lineage: Eukaryota; Metazoa; Chordata; Mammalia; Primates; Hominidae
Description: HSALNT0293499
Source: RNAcentral
UGCACUCCAGCCUAGGCAACAGAGCAAGACUGUCUCAAAAAAAAAAAAAAAAAAAAGAAUACAUGUUACUGUUGUCAUUAGAAGAGAGGGAAGUGUAUUGGGCAAGCAAAAAUCAUAACCUUCACCUUCAAUGAGUUAUAAUAGAGAAAUUAAUAUUUUAAUGGUAGAGUUGGCUCAAGGAGCCAAGAGGCCAGAAUCUCAGAAUGUCUGGCUGAGAUGCCAUGAGCCCUGAGCAGACAUGUCACAUGGACUGCCCAGCCAGGAAGGGAGGCCUAUCAUAAUUUUGUCCCCCACUUGUGUUAUCUCAUAGACUACAGACUUAAAUUUAUUUCUUAAUAUGCAUACUAUUUAAAGAAGGAAGUUAUAAACAUUUGGGCAUUAUCUUAGAGAAAGCAGAACUUUCUAAAGAGAGUGUCUAGAGGCUGGACCACAGACUAACAUCCCUGUUGGUUGAAAAAUUGCAGGCUGUCUUGUCCUGUUGGAAAGCAUUAUUUUAACAGAUUGCUUAAUGCUUUUCCUUCCUGUAGCAUGGGCUUGGGGGAGUGGUACUCAAAGCAGACUUAUAAAUUGGAUUGUAUAGUGAAUGAACUUUGCUUAAUGGCUUUGCUGGGUUUAUUUAAGACAUUGAACUGUUUGCCCUUGUCUCCAGUGGUUCAAUGACCACUCAUCAUUACAUUAGUGGGAGAACUAUCAUACUGUGUUAGAGAUACGGAGAGCUUGUGACUGGGUGAAGAGUCAGUGUUUUGACUUUUUAUGCCAACAUCAUUAUUUUCCCACUCAUUUCACAUUUCUCCUGUCAGUUCAGCCCUCAAUUCAAGGUUACCUUGAUUACUUUCAGGUCUUUUAGUCAUGAAUCUUUCUAAACUAUUUUUACCUCAAAUUGUUCCUAUAUUUUCAUGAACUCACUUUUUCUUCUUUUCUGUCUCAAAAUUAGAGGUAUUCCUAGUCUUUUCCAGCACUAAAUUCUUCCCUAGUCUACCUCCUUAGAAAACUAACUUCAUUCAUUCCUUCAUCUUCUAUUUGCAUUUUCAACUAUCUCUCUUCAUUGCAUCUUUCUCCACUUAUCCACCACAAGCCUACCUCUUGAAACAGUAUCAAAUGAGAUCAUAUUUGGGAAAGUGCUCUGUUACUCUGAAGUAGAAUAUAAAUAUGGAAUAAUAUCAUAAUCCUGUCUUUCUUCUUCCCUCCGUGAUCAUUUCAAAAAACCAUCAAUAUAAAAUAUUUUUUAAUUUUACUAUAUCACUGUUCAACUCAUUACCUAAUGUCUUAAAAUCUGAUUCUGUCUCCUAAAAUACUAUGUUAGGGGUUCAUAACUUUAUCUUCCAGUAUUUGACACAGUUAACUACAUCCUCCUUCCUUGGUUUUUGUAACCUCAUUACCUUGAUUUGCCUCCUCUCCCUUUAACCAUUCCUCUUUCCUUCAAUGUCCAUCUUUUCCCUUCUAUCUCUAAAUGUGGGUGGUCUCUAUCAUUCUGUCCUUCCUUCUCUCCCUCUCUCUCUGAUUCUCAUAAAUACUCCUUGAAACCACCAACAAAUUCUUUUCUUCAACCUCUGUUAAUUGCCUGCUGAUAAUUUUAACCUAGAUGUCCCACUAGCCCCCAAAGAAAAUGUAUAGUAAAAUAAACUCUUACCCCACUCCAAAUAUCUUCCACCUUAUCUCAGCCAACAGUGUUACUCUUUUACUGAGUCACCUAGGCUUGAAACCCUAAUUCCAUGAUUGAUUUUUCCCUCCUUAUCCCUGAAUCUAAUUUCAGCCAUAUUUUACAGACAUUUACUCUGUCUCUGCCUUCUCUUCCUUCAGGUAGUGAUAGUUCAGGCUGCUGGAAUAGCACACACCCUAUUAUUUUUGCUUUCAGUAGGGUUAUCCAAACGUAUUUUGUGGUCAUACUGUUUUUCCCUUCUUUGUUCCUUAGUUCUUUCCCUUUUCUGGUCUGAAUAACCAUUUUAACUUUAUUCACAAAGACCACUAAAUCUUCUGUGCUAACAUUUUCUCAGAACUUCCACUAAACAUGUUUAGAAUGGCUAGAAUGGCCUGUAUAACAUGCCUGGUAAGUAACAGCUGGGUGCAAGUUGACUAUUGUUUAUAAGUAGUGACAUGACAAAAAUACAUUUCAUAGCGUAUGUCUAUUAAUUUGCAUUUUCAAAUGCAGUCACCAUCUUCAUAUUAGAAAAUUCAACCGUAUUUGAUUCAGAAUGCUGAAAUUUUGAGGAUCUAAUGACAUGCUAAUGAAUAUACACUGAACAUGUUGCCUGACUUUUAAUACUUUUUCACCAGUCAUCAGAAUAUAAUUCCAGUUUAUGUCUAACCUCAUCAGAAACAUCACCUUUCAGUCUCUAGGACUCUAGCUCUCUAACUUUGUUUCUGCAGAUCCUAUUAGCAAAAAAAUGAUUAAGGACAGCUUCAGUUUUCCCAGUUUUGACAUUAAGGGUAUUUGAUGCCACAGUAGUAUACUGUGCAACUGUAAAAAAGAAUAGGGAAGCUCUUUAUAUGUCUAUAUGGAAAGAUCUCUAUUAAGAAAUGAAUGUUCAUGUCUCCCUCAAAACUCAUGUGUUUAAGUCCUAACCCUCAAUAUGAUGAUGAUAUUUGGAGAUGAGGCCUUUGGGAUGUAACUGGGGUUAGAUGAGGUUAUGAGGGUGGGACUCUCAUGAUGUGAUUAGUGCCUUUAUAAGAUUAGAUGCCAGAAAGCUUGCUGGUUCUCUAUCUGCAUGUUAGGACAUAGUGAGAAGAAAGCCAUCUGAAAACCAGGAAGAGAGCCCUCACCAGAAUCUGACCAUGCUGGUGCCCUGAUCUUGGACUUUCAGCCUCCAGAACUGCAAAAUUCUGGUGUGGUGUGAAUGCUGUGGCUCAGUCCGAACAUGUUUUUUUCUGUAAUUUUAUCAUUAUUACACGAUUGCAAUAUCAGUUUUGUUUUUUAAUUGGAAAGCAACAUUUUCUACUGUUGAAAGACGUUUUUUGACAAAUUGACCCUUCCUAGUAUUGAGUACUAAGUUGAGGACUGCAUCUACUUGUUUUUUACAUUAUAGAGAAUAAAAUACUAUUGAUUUGAAAAAUA